Molecule: non-coding RNA, 333 nt
Organism: Gorilla gorilla gorilla (western lowland gorilla)
Lineage: Eukaryota; Metazoa; Chordata; Mammalia; Primates; Hominidae
Source: the annotation of a RefSeq genome assembly
AUGGCCUGGACCCCUCUGUGCCUCUCCUUCCUCACCCUCUGCAAAGGCUCUGUGGCCUCCUAUGAGCUGACACAGCCACCCGCAGUGUCAGUGUCCCCAGGACAGACAGCCAGGAUCAGCUGCUCUGGAGAUGUACUGAGCGAUAAUUAUGCUGACUGGUACCUGCAACAGCCAGGCCAGGCCCCUGUGCUGGUGAUAUAUAAAGAUGGUGAGCGACACUCUGGAAUCCCUGAGUCAUUCUCUGGGUCCACCUCAGGGAACACAACCACCCUGACCAUCAGCAGGGUCCUGACCAAAGGCAGGGCUGACUAUUACUGUUUUUCUGGUGAUUAG